GAUGAAGAACGCAGUGAAAUGCGAUAAGUAAUGUGAAUUGCAGAAUUCAGUGAAUCAUCGAAUCUUUGAACGCACAUUGCGCCCCCUGGCAUUCCGGGGGGCAUGCCUGUCCGAGCGUCAUUGCUGCCCUUCAAGCCCGGCUUGUGUGUUGGGUCGUCGUCCCCCCCGGGGGACGGGCCCGAAAGGCAGCGGCGGCACCGCGUCCGGUCCUCGAGCGUAUGGGGCUUUGUCACCCGCUCGAUUAGGGCCGGCCGGGCGCCAGCCGGCGUCUCCAACCUUCUAUUUUACCAGGUUGACCUCGGAUCAGGUAGGGAUACCCGCUGAACUUAAGCAUAUCAAUAAGCGGAGGA
This 350-nucleotide unclassified non-coding RNA is filed under the name soil metagenome. Its description in RNAcentral is "partial contains 5.8S ribosomal RNA, internal transcribed spacer 2, and large subunit ribosomal RNA". The stretch from base 1 to 120 matches the Rfam family "5.8S ribosomal RNA", at positions 35 to 154 of the family's 154-position model. The record is from RNAcentral.